This 510-nucleotide ribosomal RNA is filed under the name uncultured bacterium. RNAcentral describes it as "bacterial SSU rRNA". It matches the Rfam family "Bacterial small subunit ribosomal RNA", at positions 17 to 518 of the family's 1533-position model. The record is from RNAcentral.
AUCUGGUUCAGGACGAACGCUGGCGGCGUGCCUAACACAUGCAAGUCGAGCGAGGAGAUUCCUUCGGGAUGAUCCUAGCGGCGGACGGGUGAGUAACACGUGGGCAACCUGCCUCAUAGAGAGGAAUAGCCUUCCGAAAGGGAGAUUAAUACCUCAUAACAUUGCAGUUUCGCAUGGAACAGCAAUUAAAGGAGUAAUCCGCUAUGAGAUGGGCCCGCGGCGCAUUAGCUAGUUGGUGAGGUAACGGCUCACCAAGGCGACGAUGCGUAGCCGACCUGAGAGGGUGAUCGGCCACAUUGGGACUGAGACACGGCCCAGACUCCUACGGGAGGCAGCAGUAGGGAAUCUUCCGCAAUGGACGAAAGUCUGACGGAGCAACGCCGCGUGAGUGAAAGAAGGUUUUCGGAUCGUAAAACUCUGUUGUCAGAGAAGAACAAGUUGGAGAGUAACUGCUCCAGCCUUGACGGUAUCUGACCAGAAAGCCACGGCUAACUACGUGCCAGCCGCCGC